This 74-nucleotide transfer RNA is filed under the name Hyphomicrobiales bacterium. Its description in RNAcentral is "Rhizobiales bacterium tRNA-Phe". It matches the Rfam family "tRNA". Rfam says of the family: Transfer RNA (tRNA) molecules are approximately 80 nucleotides in length. Their secondary structure includes four short double-helical elements and three loops (D, anti-codon, and T loops). Lineage: Bacteria; Pseudomonadati; Pseudomonadota; Alphaproteobacteria; Hyphomicrobiales. The record is from RNAcentral.
GUUCCCUUAACUCAGGGGUAGAGUGUCUGUUUGAAGAGCAGAAAGCGAUGGUUCGAAUCCAUCAGGGAACACCA